CCGGCGAUGUCCGAAUGGGGAAACCCAGUGCAAUUCGUUGCACUAUCGUUAACUGAAUACAUAGGUUAACGAGGCGAACCGGGGGAACUGAAACAUCUAAGUACCCCGAGGAAAAGAAAUCAACCGAGAUUCCCCCAGUAGCGGCGAGCGAACGGGGAGCAGCCCAGAGUCUGAAUCAGCUUGUGUGUUAGUGGAACGGUCUGGAAAGUCCGACGGUACAGGGUGAUAGUCCCGUACACCAAAAUGCACAGGUUGUGAACUCGAAGAGUAGGGCGGGACACGUGGUAUCCUGUCUGAAUAUGGGGGGACCAUCCUCCAAGGCUAAAUACUCCUGACUGACCGAUAGUGAACCAGUACCGUGAGGGAAAGGCGAAAAGAACCCCGGCGAGGGGAGUGAAAAAGAACCUGAAACCGUGUACGUACAAGCAGUGGGAGCACCUUCGGGUGUGACUGCGUACCUUUUGUAUAAUGGGUCAGCGACUUAUAUUCUGUAGCAAGGUUA
Molecule: ribosomal RNA, 502 nt
Filed under: Klebsiella pneumoniae
Lineage: Bacteria; Pseudomonadati; Pseudomonadota; Gammaproteobacteria; Enterobacterales; Enterobacteriaceae
Description: bacterial LSU rRNA
Rfam family: Bacterial large subunit ribosomal RNA
Source: RNAcentral